Molecule: RNase P RNA, 358 nt
Filed under: Centipeda artemidis
Lineage: Bacteria; Bacillati; Bacillota; Negativicutes; Selenomonadales; Selenomonadaceae
Description: Selenomonas artemidis (human oral metagenome) RNase P RNA component class A
Rfam family: Bacterial RNase P class A
About the family: Ribonuclease P (RNase P) is a ubiquitous endoribonuclease, found in archaea, bacteria and eukarya as well as chloroplasts and mitochondria. Its best characterised activity is the generation of mature 5'-ends of tRNAs by cleaving the 5'-leader elements of precursor-tRNAs. Cellular RNase Ps are ribonucleoproteins.
Source: RNAcentral
UGAGAAACCGAGACAAUCGCCUGUAUCGUUUUUGCGAUGCAUGAGGAAAGUCCGAGCUCCACAGGGCAGUGUGCCGGAUAACGUCCGGCGAGGGUGACCUUAGGGACAGUGCCAUAGAAAUUUAAACCGCCGGCUUUGCCGGUAAGGGUGGAAAGGUGCGGUAAGAGCGCACCGGCGAUCGGGUAACCGGUCGGCCUUGGUAAACCCCACAUGGAGCAAGACCAAAUAGGGAAGGACAAAGGCGGCCCGUCGACCUUCCGGGUAGAGUCGCUUGAGCCUGCGGGCAACCGUCGGCCUAGAUAAAUGAUUGUCGCCGCCGCAAGGCGGAACAGAACUCGGCUUAUUGGUUUCUCGUAGC